This 180-nucleotide unclassified non-coding RNA is filed under the name soil metagenome. RNAcentral's name for it is "partial internal transcribed spacer 1". The record is from RNAcentral.
CUGAGUGAGGGUCUUCGGGCCCGACCUCCCAACCCGGUGUCUAUCAACUUCAGUUGCUUCGGUGGGCCGGACGCGACCCACGGGUCGUGACCCCCAGUCUUCGGGCUGGAGCGUGCCCGCCGAUGGCCUCCACAAACUCUUGGUACCCAACCUGUCGUCUGAAUUGAAUUUUCAAAAACA